AGCGAACGCUGGCGGCAGGCUUAACACAUGCAAGUCGAGCGCCCGUAGCAAUACGGGAGCGGCAGACGGGUGAGUAACACGUGGGAACGUGCCUUUUGGUUCGGAACAACUGAGGGAAACUUCAGCUAAUACCGGAUAAGCCCUUACGGGGAAAGAUUUAUCGCCAAAAGAUCGGCCCGCGUCUGAUUAGCUAGUUGGUGGGGUAAUGGCCCACCAAGGCUACGAUCAGUAGCUGGUCUGAGAGGAUGAUCAGCCACACUGGGACUGAGACACGGCCCAGACUCCUACGGGAGGCAGCAGUGGGGAAUCUUGGACAAUGGGCGCAAGCCUGAUCCAGCCAUGCCGCGUGAGUGAUGAAGGCCUUAGGGUUGUAAGCCCUUUCAGCGGGAAGAUAAUGACGGUACCGCAGAAGAAG
This 415-nucleotide ribosomal RNA is filed under the name uncultured bacterium. Its description in RNAcentral is "bacterial SSU rRNA". It matches the Rfam family "Bacterial small subunit ribosomal RNA", at positions 29 to 490 of the family's 1533-position model. The record is from RNAcentral.